This 162-nucleotide small nuclear RNA is filed under the name Neotoma lepida (desert woodrat). Its description in RNAcentral is "U1 spliceosomal RNA". It matches the Rfam family "U1 spliceosomal RNA". Rfam says of the family: U1 is a small nuclear RNA (snRNA) component of the spliceosome (involved in pre-mRNA splicing). Its 5' end forms complementary base pairs with the 5' splice junction, thus defining the 5' donor site of an intron. Lineage: Eukaryota; Metazoa; Chordata; Mammalia; Rodentia; Cricetidae. The record is from Rfam by way of RNAcentral.
AUACUUACCGGGCCAGGGAGAUGCCAUGAACACAAAGGUGUUUUCCCAGGGUGAAGUUAUUCAUCGCACUCCGGAUGUGCUGACCCCUGCGAUUUCCCCGAAUUCGAAAAACUCGAUGGCAUAAUUAGUGGUAGUGGGAGACUGUGUUCACACUCUCUUCUU